GGGCAGGUAGUUUGUAAGUCGCUCUGGAUAAGAGCGUCUGCUAAAUGACUUAAA
Molecule: non-coding RNA, 54 nt
Organism: Salmo salar (Atlantic salmon)
Lineage: Eukaryota; Metazoa; Chordata; Actinopteri; Salmoniformes; Salmonidae
Source: Rfam